CCUACGGGAGGCAGCAGUAAGGAAUAUUGGACAAUGCUCGCAAGAGUGAUCCAGCCAUGCCGCGUGCAGGAAGAAUGCCCUAUGGGUAGUAAACUGCUUUUGAACUAGAGAAAAUCCCAGUACGUGUACUGGGCUGAUAGUAUAGUUAGAAUAAGCAUCGGCUAACUUCGUGCCAGCAGCCGCGGUAAGACGAAGGAUGCAAGCGUUAUCCGGAUUCAUUGGGUUUAAAGGGAGCGUAGGUGGACUGAUAAGUCAGUGGUGAAAUCUCCGAGCUUAACUCGGAAAUUGCCAUUGAUACUGUUGGUCUUGAGUACAGUUGCUGUGGGCGGAAUAUGACAUGUAGUGGUGAAAUACAUAGAGAUGUCAUAGAACACCGAUUGCGAAGGCAGCUCACAAAGCUGUAACUGACACUGAGGCUCGAAAGUGCGGGGAUCAAACAGGAUUAGAUACCCUGGUAGUCCGCACCGUAAACGAUGAUUACUCGCUGCUAGGGGGCAACCUUUAGUGGCUUAGCGAAAGCGAUAAGUAAUCCACCUGGGAGUACGCCGGCAACGGUGAAACGUUAAAGGAAUGACGGCGNGAGAGNGCGAGACGACGACGAGGGAGAGG
RNAcentral lists this ribosomal RNA (609 nucleotides) under uncultured bacterium. Its description in RNAcentral is "bacterial SSU rRNA". It matches the Rfam family "Bacterial small subunit ribosomal RNA", at positions 338 to 944 of the family's 1533-position model. The record is from RNAcentral.